AACGAACGCUGGCGGCAUGCCUAACACAUGCAAGUCGAACGAGACCUUCGGGUCUAGUGGCGCACGGGUGCGUAACGCGUGGGAACCUGCCCUUAGGUUCGGAAUAACUCCCCGAAAGGGGUGCUAAUACCGGAUAAUGUCUUCGGACCAAAGAUUUAUCGCCUUUGGAUGGGCCCGCGUUGGAUUAGCUAGUUGGUAGGGUAAAAGCCUACCAAGGCGACGAUCCAUAGCUGGUCUGAGAGGAUGAUCAGCCACACUGGGACUGGGACGCGGCCCAGACUCCUACGGGAGGCGGCAGUGGGGAAUAUUGGACAAUGGGCGAAAGCAUGAUCCAGCAAUGCCGCGUGAGUGAUGAAGGCCUUAGGGUUGUAAAGCGCUUUUACCCGGGAUGAUAAUGACAGUACCGGGAGAAUAAGCUCCGGCUAACUCCGUG
Molecule: ribosomal RNA, 433 nt
Filed under: uncultured bacterium
Lineage: Bacteria
Description: partial 16S ribosomal RNA
Rfam family: Bacterial small subunit ribosomal RNA
Source: RNAcentral